AGAGUUUGAUCAUGGCUCAGAUUGAACGCUGGCGGAAUGCUUUACACAUGCAAGUCGAACGGCAGCACGGGAGCUUGCUCCUGGUGGCGAGUGGCGAACGGGUGAGUAACAUAUCGGAACGUAUCCAAUAAUGGGGGAUAACUAGUCGAAAGAUUAGCUAAUACCGCAUACGCCCUGAGGGGGAAAGCUGGGGAUCGUAAGACCUGGCGUUAAUGGAGCGGCCGAUAUCUGAUUAGCUAGUUGGUGGGGUAAAGGCCCACCAAGGCGACGAUCAGUAGCUGGUCUGAGAGGACGACCAGCCACACUGGAACUGAGACACGGUCCAGACUCCUACGGGAGGCAGCAGUGGGGAAUUUUGGACAAUGGGCGCAAGCCUGAUCCAGCCAUUCCGCGUGAGUGAAGAAGGCCUUCGGGUUGUAAAGCUCUUUCGCAAGGGAAGAAAACUUACUUUCUAAUAAAGAGUGAGGUUGACGGUACCUUGAUAAGAAGCACCGGCUAACUACGUGCCAGCAGCCGCGGUAAUACGUAGGGUGCGAGCGUUAAUCGGAAUUACUGGGCGUAAAGCGUGCGCAGGCGGUCUUGAAAGUCAGAUGUGAAAUCCCCGGGCUCAACCUGGGAACUGCGUUUGAAACUCCAAGACUAGAGUAUGGCAGAGGGGGGUAGAAUUCCACGUGUAGCAGUGAAAUGCGUAGAGAUGUGGAGGAAUACCAAUGGCGAAGGCAGCCCCCUGGGUCAAUACUGACGCUCAUGCACGAAAGCGUGGGGAGCAAACAGGAUUAGAUACCCUGUAGUCCACGCCCUAAACGAUGUCUACUAGUUGUUGGGAGAGUAAAAUCUCUUAGUAACGCAGCUAACGCGUGAAGUAGACCGCCUGGGGAGUACGGUCGCAAGAUUAAAACUCAAAGGAAUUGACGGGGGCCCGCACAAGCGGUGGAUUAUGUGGAUUAAUUCGAUGCAACGCGAAAAACCUUACCUGGCCUUGACAUGUACCGAAUUUGGCAGAGAUGCCUUAGUGCUCGAAAGAGAGCGGUAACACAGGUGCUGCAUGGCUGUCGUCAGCUCGUGUCGUGAGAUGUUGGGUUAAGUCCCGCAACGAGCGCAACCCUUGCCAAUAAUUGCCAUCAUUUAGUUGGGCACUUUAUUGGGACUGCCGGUGACAAACCGGAGGAAGGUGGGGAUGACGUCAAGUCCUCAUGGCCCUUAUGGCCAGGGCUUCACACGUAAUACAAUGGUCGGUACAGAGGGUUGCCAACCCGCGAGGGGGAGCUAAUCUCAGAAAGCCGAUCGUAGUCCGGAUUGAAGUCUGCAACUCGACUUCAUGAAGU
RNAcentral lists this ribosomal RNA (1325 nucleotides) under metagenome. RNAcentral's name for it is "bacterial SSU rRNA". It matches the Rfam family "Bacterial small subunit ribosomal RNA", at positions 8 to 1326 of the family's 1533-position model. The record is from RNAcentral.